CCCUUAGACGUUCUGGGCCGCACGCGCGCUACACUGACCAGUGCAACAAGCAUCCGUCCUUGGCCGACAGGCUCGGGCAAUCUUUGAACGCUGGUCGUGAUGGGGAUAGACUUUUGCAAUUUUUGGUCUUCAACGAGGAAUUCCUAGUAGACGCAAGUCAUCAACUUGCAUUGAUUACGUCCCUGCCCUUUGUACACACCGCCCGUCGCACCUACCGAUUGAAUGGUCCGGUGAAGCCUCCGGAUUGGCGCGCACCUCGGUGCCGCCGAGAAGUUGGCUAAACCUUACCAUUUAGAGGAAGGUGAAGUCGUAACA
RNAcentral lists this ribosomal RNA (315 nucleotides) under uncultured eukaryote. RNAcentral describes it as "partial 18S ribosomal RNA". It matches the Rfam family "Eukaryotic small subunit ribosomal RNA", at positions 1470 to 1796 of the family's 1831-position model. The record is from RNAcentral.